Molecule: long non-coding RNA, 146 nt
Organism: Pipra filicauda (Wire-tailed manakin)
Lineage: Eukaryota; Metazoa; Chordata; Aves; Passeriformes; Pipridae
Exons: 3
Source: RefSeq, a predicted model, not a curated record
GGAGGCUCUAGGCACCGGAGGGGAGGUGAUCCAGGGGUUCUGCCACCUUCUCACAGACAGUCCAGUGCUUCAGGGCCCCUGCUGGUAAGAGGUCACUGUGGAGGAGAGAGAAUGUGUGCAGCCUCAGAGGGCUGGAGCCACCUGCC